This 67-nucleotide transfer RNA is filed under the name Ectophylla alba. Its description in RNAcentral is "tRNA-Thr". It matches the Rfam family "tRNA". From Rfam's summary of the family: Transfer RNA (tRNA) molecules are approximately 80 nucleotides in length. Their secondary structure includes four short double-helical elements and three loops (D, anti-codon, and T loops). Further hydrogen bonds mediate the characteristic L-shaped molecular structure. tRNAs have two regions of fundamental functional importance: the anti-codon, which is responsible for specific mRNA codon recognition, and the 3' end, to which the tRNAs corresponding amino acid is attached (by aminoacyl-tRNA synthetases). tRNAs cope with the degeneracy of the genetic code in two manners: having more than one tRNA (with a specific anti-codon) for a particular amino acid; and 'wobble' base-pairing, i.e. permitting non-standard base-pairing at the 3rd anti-codon position. Lineage: Eukaryota; Metazoa; Chordata; Mammalia; Chiroptera; Phyllostomidae. The record is from RNAcentral.
GUCCAUGUAGUAUAACAAUUACAUCGGUCUUGUAAGCCGAAAAAGGGAACAAAACUCCCCAUAGACU